CGGUUGAUCCUGCCGGACCCUACCGCUAUCGGGAUAGGACUAAGCCAUGCAAGUUGCGCGUCUCCCACAAUUUAGAGCGCGCAACAAACGGCUCCGUAACACGUGGUUAACCUACCCUUAGGACAGGGAUAACCCCGGGACACUGGGGCUAAUACCUGAUAGGUGAUAGCUCCUGGAAUGGGCUAUCACCCAAAAGACGUUGAGAACAUGCUUUCAACGUCGCCUAAGGAUGGAACCGCGUCCGAUCAGGUUGUUGGUGAGGUAACGGCUCACCAAACCUAUGACCGGUACGGGCCGCGGGAGCGGUAGCCCGGAGAUGGACACUGAGACAAGGGUCCAGGCCCUACGGGGCGCAGCAGGCGCGAAAACUCCGCAAUACACGAAAGUGUGACGGGGCUAUCCCGAGUGCCGUCCGCUGAGGAUGGCUUUUCCCCAGUGUAAGGAGCCGGAGGAAUAAGGAGAGGGCAAGUCUGGUGUCAGCCGCCGCGGUAAUACCAGCUCUCCGAGUGGUAGGGAUGUUUAUUGGGCUUAAAGCGUCCGUAGCCGGCUUAACAAGUCCCCCGUUAAAUCCAACGAUUCAAUCGUUGGACUGCGGGGGAUACUGUUAGGCUAGGGGGCGGGAGAGGCCGACGGUAUUCCCGGGGUAGGGGUGAAAUCCUAUAAUCCCGGGAGGACCACCAGUGGCGAAGGCGGUCGGCUAGAACGCGCUCGACGGUGAGGGACGAAAGCUGGGGGAGCGAACCGGAUUAGAUACCCGGGUAGUCCCAGCUGUAAACGAUGCGGGCUAGGUGUUGGGGUGGCUACGAGCCACCUCAGUGCCGCAGGGAAACCAUUAAGCCCGCCGCCUGGGGAGUACGGCCGCAAGGCUGAAACUUAAAGGAAUUGGCGGGGGAGCAC
RNAcentral lists this ribosomal RNA (897 nucleotides) under uncultured archaeon. Its description in RNAcentral is "bacterial SSU rRNA". It matches the Rfam family "Archaeal small subunit ribosomal RNA", at positions 5 to 879 of the family's 1478-position model. The record is from RNAcentral.